GAUGAACGCUGGCGGCGUGCCUAAUACAUGCAAGUCGAGCGAACAGAUAAGGAGCUUGCUCCUUUGACGUUAGCGGCGGACGGGUGAGUAACACGUGGGUAACCUACCUAUAAGACUGGAAUAACUCCGGGAAACCGGGGCUAAUGCCGGAUAACAUUUAGAACCGCAUGGUUCUAAAGUGAAAGAUGGUUUUGCUAUCACUUAUAGAUGGACCCGCGCCGUAUUAGCUAGUUGGUAAGGUAACGGCAUACCAAGGCAACGAUACGUAGCCGACCUGAGAGGGUGAUCGGCCACACUGGAACUGAGACACGGUCCAGACUCCUACGGGAGGCAGCAGUAGGGAAUCUUCCGCAAUGGGCGAAAGCCUGACGGAGCAACGCCGCGUGAGUGAUGAAGGUCUUCGGAUCGUAAAACUCUGUUAUUAGGGAAGAACAAAUGUGUAAGUAACUGUGCACGUCUUGACGGUACCUAAUCAGAAAGCCACGGCUAACUACGUG
RNAcentral lists this ribosomal RNA (497 nucleotides) under uncultured bacterium. RNAcentral describes it as "partial 16S ribosomal RNA". It matches the Rfam family "Bacterial small subunit ribosomal RNA", at positions 28 to 507 of the family's 1533-position model. The record is from RNAcentral.